RNAcentral lists this unclassified non-coding RNA (285 nucleotides) under uncultured Xerocomus. RNAcentral describes it as "sequence contains ITS2". The stretch from base 1 to 52 matches the Rfam family "5.8S ribosomal RNA", at positions 103 to 154 of the family's 154-position model. The record is from RNAcentral. Lineage: Eukaryota; Fungi; Basidiomycota; Agaricomycetes; Boletales; Boletaceae.
AACGCACCUUGCGCUCCUUGGUAUUCCGAGGAGCAUGCCUGUUUGAGUGUCAUUAAAUUCUCAACCAUGACUUUGUUGACAUGGCUUGGAGGUUGGGGGUUGCUGGCUUGUUUGUCAGCUCUCCUGAAAUACAUUAGCGGUGGACAAGCAAGGCCUUCCGACGUGAUAAUGAUCGUCGUGGGGCGGAGCAUCAACGUCUGUCUGCUUCUAAAUCCCAGAUGCCUUAGCUAGACAUCAUUUCGAACGCUUGACCUCAAAUCAGGUAGGACUACCCGCUGAACUUAA